AUAUGAUCUUAUAGGGAUCAUCACCCAACACUUUCUCACUGCUUUAGGUAUAGCUAUUUGUGGCAGAGAUCUAAAGACCACUAAUGAACUUAUCACUAUACUAACCGAGAUAGAAGAAUCCACAUCUUUUUGCGAAAAUGUUUCUUCACAACCCCCUCAUCAUUUCAGUCUCAACUGACAUUUUCCCCCAGAGCUAGAAAUAAUAACCAUAAUAAUUAACAUUAUGUAUCAAACAAUCCCCAUACAAAACCAGUUCACAGUCUCCAGGAUAAUCAAAACCAUGAUAGUUAUACUGGUAACAAUAAUUAUAGACGCUCUAGUCAGUAUUAGCGAAAUCCUCCAGGAACCAUUCUAAUUCUGCACUCAACACUCCAGUAUCCAUAAAUAAUAAUUUCCUAGAAACAAGCAACGAUUCUCAUUUCAUUCAUCAACUGAAUGCCUCAGGAAACAUCGCAGAGGCCCACAUAUGGAUAUACUGCAUGGCGGUGCCUUUUAAAUCCUCAAUCGGCGUACCCUAAUUCACUGUUUUUCCCCUUCACAAACUCCCUCUGAACCCAUAUCUGUUUAACCUAUUGUCAUCACACCAAUCACUACUUGACCUGGUCUUGAAGUUAAUGUUUUUCAACAUCCAAUUCAAACUAGUUGACACUGGUGCUUCUGUCUACUGUUUCAGAGCAAUUUUUUAAAGUUAUACAAACUUAAGUCCUUGAAGGGCAAACCCUGUCCACACUGCCUGCGUCAGGUGUAACAAUUACUACUGUGGUGGAAGGUAGAAGUCAUAAAAUGAUAUAACCAGUUUUAAUUCCUUUUACUGUCCCUCGCCAUAAGUGUGAUUACAUUUGUCUUGUAGUUUCAAACUUAAAGGCCCUGAUGAUUUUAAGCAAUGAUUGGUUAUCACAGCAAGGAGUAGAUAAACAAUAUUCCAUUUGUAUAUUUUAUUUCCCAAUGUGGAAUAUUCAAGUUCGUAGAUAGUAGCUUAUGUCCAGUAGGGACAACCUACCCUGAACUUACUAUUCAGGAGAUGUCCGAAGAGUCUAAGGAACCAACCUAGCACAAUUCAACUGUUGUUGAGUAUCCAUUUCCCAUAGUCAUUUAUCCCUCUGUAGAGAUAACCACUAUGCAAACCCACCACAGAGUAUGUACUCAUAGAAAAUAUUAUAAAUAGUCUGAAUUUAAUUUCCACCAUUAAUAAGUCACAGUUUGACCAAGUUAUAUCUCCCUGUUUCUCAAAUAACAGCAUAUUUUCCGUACUCAUCCAGGUUUAAAUUUCUUGUGUACAUGUAGAUUUAGUGUCUUUGAUACUACCCCUUUCAAGGUAAACCCUUAUCCAAUAUCAUUUUCACAUCAUUUAGAUCUGGAGAUCGCAUGCAUGAUCAAUUGGAAUAUUAUAGAAAGAUGUUCUUUUCCUUGAUGGAUCCAAUUUAUUUUUAUUUAAUAAUUAUUAACUUAAUAAAUAAUUCUCCCUAAAAUACCAUGUGUUUAUUUAUUUUAGCUUAAAGCAAGUUUCCCUUUUCUUCCGUAUGACCCGAAU
Non-coding RNA from Cinara cedri, 1531 nucleotides. The record is from the annotation of a GenBank genome assembly. NCBI's taxonomy places the organism in Eukaryota, Metazoa, Arthropoda, Insecta, Hemiptera, Aphididae.